GUCUUUACGUGGAAGAUGUAAAGUCGGGCCUGCCCACUGAUUAAUUGAAGGGCCGCGGUAUUUUGACCGUGCAAAGGUAGCAUAAUCAUUAGUCUUUUAAUUGAAGGCUGGUAUGAAUGGUUUGACGAGAUAUUGACUGUCUCAUUAUAAAAAUUUGAAGUUAACUUUUUAGUCAAAAGGCUAAGUUGAAGUUAGAGGACGAGAAGACCCUAUAGAGCUUUAUAAGUAUGAUGGAAUAGUUGAUUUUGGUUUGUUGGAAAUUGAUAAUUUUGUUGGAUUUAUUGGGUUGGGGUGAUUUGAAGAUUGAAUAAACUCUUGAUGGUUAAAAACAUAGAUUUAUGGUAUAAUGAUCCAUUAUUAGUGAUUAAAAGAUUAAGUUACCUUAGGGAUAACAGCGUAAUUUUUUUUGAGAGUUCUUAUCGACAAGAAAGAUUGCGACCUCGAUGUUGGACUAAGGAAUAUUAUUGGGUGUAGUAGUUCAAUGAAUAGGUCUGUUCGACCUUUAAAUCCUU
Molecule: ribosomal RNA, 512 nt
Filed under: Hemideina crassidens
Lineage: Eukaryota; Metazoa; Arthropoda; Insecta; Orthoptera; Anostostomatidae
Description: partial 16S ribosomal RNA
Rfam family: Bacterial large subunit ribosomal RNA
Source: RNAcentral